Molecule: RNA transcript, 3217 nt
Organism: Mustela lutreola (European mink)
Lineage: Eukaryota; Metazoa; Chordata; Mammalia; Carnivora; Mustelidae
Gene: FAM110C
Gene name: family with sequence similarity 110 member C
Exons: 3
Source: RefSeq, a predicted model, not a curated record
GCGCGCGGGGAGGAGCCGGGGGCGCGGUGGGUGGGGGGUGCUGGGGCGGGUCGCCGAUAGGUGCGGACUCGGGUUAGCCAGACUCUGGACCUGGGCCGGCUGGCGCGAGCGCCCUUCCCCACCCCGUGCGGACUUCGGAACUGGCCCAAGACGCGCAGGAGCCGCCUGCGGAGCGCGUUUCCACGGGACGCGGAGCACCGGCGGAGCCCCGAGGAUGCGAGCCCUGCCAGCCCUGGACGCGCCCCAGAACGAGCGACUGCUGACCCGGGACCCCGCGGCCGUCAGGGUCCGGGACGCGGCGGGGCCAGCACGCAGGAGCGCCGUGGAGAGGCUGGCGGCCGACCGCGCCAAGUAUGUGCGGGGCCCUCCGAGAGCCGGCGCGGGGCCCGCGGCCGCGGGCAGCAACCCCGGGGCGAGCGAAGGGACCGCGGGCGAUCCUCGGCCUCCGCCUCGUGUCGCCGGUGCCGUGGCGCGCAGGGCCAUAGCCCGGAAGCCACUGAGGCCCGACUCGCUGAUCAUCUACCGGCAGAAAUGCGACUUCGUCCGAGGCCAGGGCGCCGACAGCUCCAGGGCGGGCCUGGUGAAGAAGCUCUUCCAAGGCCCGGGCAAGGACAAGACGUCGCUGUCCCCGGAGACGCCCCAGGUGCGAGAGGAGAUCGGGGCCAGGAGCGAGGAGCCUGCCCCGUCCAAGCCCGGCUCUGCGGCGGCCUCCGCGGCCCCCGGCGUUCCCGCGCCCCCGGCGCGCCCAGCACCUUGUGGGACGCCCACCCGAGUGCCGGCUGCGCCCCGGGAACCGGAGCUGCGAGGGUCGAGGCGCGGGGGGCUGCAGCGGUCGCAGUCAGACCUCAGCUCCCGCUACUCUGCGUCCUUGGCCGAGUGGGACACCUUCUUCCAGUUCUGCGGCCUGGAACCGGAGGUCGUGGAAGCUCUCGGGAGGGAGAACUUCUCCGCGGGGUCGGACCGCGUCACACUCAAGGUCCGCAGCGUGAGCGUCGCCACCUCCGACAGCGGCUUCUCCCGGCAGAGCGGCAGCGACGCGGGGCUGCAGGAGGAAGGGCUGGCGGAGCAGGUGCCCAGCACCACCUCGGUGGUCGAGAGGAACGCCCGCAUCAUCAAGUGGCUGUACACCUGCAGGAAAGCCAGGGAGAAGCCGGGCCAGGCGCUGCAGGGCCCGGUGUGAUCGCUCGCGCUCUGCGGAGACCUGGACCCCAGCCACCAUGAUCGCCUCGGGGUCAAGGAGGAAAGCUGUGGGAACGGCAUCGUUCCGGAGACUCGUGGUCCGGUAGACAGAGCACUAAAGUGGACGGACUGGGAGCGUCUUCCAUUGGAAGCGAGGCUUCCAGACUGUGGGGGCUCCUUGAAGUAUGUCCUGGAUGACUGGGGACCCCGGGGCCAUCCUCAGUGCCACAGGACUUGUCCCGUGCACCCAGGGGACCACACGAUUGCUGCUUUCCUGGGAAUGAAGCACCCACUGAAGAGACGUACAGAGUUCAGAAGGUUUGAGAUGCGGUGGAGAAAGAGGACCUUGGAACUUGGAAAUCAGCUGACUUGUAGCUGUUAAGACAGCUGGAGCUUGGGGAGGUAGUUUCUUGUUUGAGGCGGAUCUGGUCUUGCUCCCAGAGGGCAGCAGAGGAGGGAAGCCUUCUUGGAAAUGUUUUCAGGGCUCUCUGUUUGACUGGCUUGGUGACAAAGAGGUACCAUGAUGCAUUGUAAUGAUAUUUAAAUUGAUUCUAAAAAGAAAAAGAAGUCCAAGAGUAGGAAAGCCAAGCAUGGAUACCAUAGCAUUUACUGCUUUUCAUCAGUCUGGGCUGUUGGGCUCCAAUUAAACCAAAGUUCUGUAGCCGUGAGAAGGUGUAUUAUACUUCAGCAGUGUGGGUAGCGGAGAGUAAACACAGUCACAUGCUCUCAUGGACACCUCCGUUCUGAGCAUCACUGCCACGGAAACUGCAGAAUGUACUCUUAAAGUAAUUUUAGUACUGCCACUCCCGUUGGGUUGCGUACGUGUGGACGUGCCGUUGGAAGGGAAGUUGGAGUUGAUAUUGCUAAAAAUGCCUUUUUGGGAGCUGGCAGGAGACCUAGGAACUCCCUUCCCUGGCAGCAUGGCCUCCACAGGGCUCUGGUUCCCCAAUUGCCCAAAGCAGGGAGAGCCCAGGGUCCACACAGCACACCCUGCCCAUCUGUCUAACCCCCACCUGCGGAUCACACAGUCAUCUCAGGUUUGGCACUGGCUCACCCUUUUCUGCCCAGGAUGUGUCUGAGAUGAGGGGCAGCCUCAGGGCACCUGGCUUCUCCAGGAUCAGAAUCCUGUGGGCAGGGAGUUACUGACCCUCGCCUACUCCUCACACCCAGACCACAUAGAUUUCAGAUUCAGAGCUUGUGGAGAGAAACUUUGUAUCCAUGAUGACAACCCGGAAGACUCUGUAACCCAGCUGACUCUUCCCAAGCCUGCUGGGUUUUAAUGAAGUACAUGUCCUCAGGAGCAAUAUUAUUACGGAGAAGAGUAUGGAGGAGAGAAAGAUUGCUUCUCAGUGGUAGAACAUUUUAUAAACCAAUGCAUUUCGAUAUGUUCAUAUACUUGUUUAAUAUUGUGUUCUAUUUUUGUAACUCCUACUGUGAGGGGUUCUUUAUUUUAUUUUUUGCAGUUACUGGUCAUUAGAUAGUUUGCUUUAACAUCAUAUGGUUUUAGUUUUUAUCAGUUUUCCAUCAUUUUCUCCGUGCUUGUGUUUGUGCGUGUCGUUUCACUGGAUGUCCCACUCCUGUCUGUAAGCAUCGUGCUCCCUGCUCUCUGUACCACAGUGAUUUGUUUUCAAAUAAGUCACACGUAGGGAUUUUUGGAGCCUCUGUUGGCCCAUGGAUGUACCUUUCUCAUCGUAGACUAUUUAAAGACAACAGAUCCAUGCUUUAAGAAUUUCCUCCAGUUGUUCCUCUCAAAAGGCUGCUAUUUUAGGGUUCAAUCGAUUGCAGUUAAUUUAAAAACAUAAUGUCAAAGAUGAGAGUUUUUUUUAAAGGGUCUCUACAUACACCCAUUCCCUUACUUAAGGUGUUGCAUUAAUUGUACAUGUCAAUGCUUCGGGCAAACCUGUUUUGUGCCUUUCUACUCUCAAAGUAGGGUGAACUAGAACUUCCAUCAUAUUUGCCUUAGAUUGGAAUGGUGCAGACUCAUAAUUCAUGUAACAAAUAAACGUAUAUAUAGACCAGCUGGUUGUGUUUAAAAACA